Molecule: long non-coding RNA, 1037 nt
Organism: Girardinichthys multiradiatus
Lineage: Eukaryota; Metazoa; Chordata; Actinopteri; Cyprinodontiformes; Goodeidae
Exons: 3
Source: RefSeq, a predicted model, not a curated record
UCAGUCCCAAUUCCUCCUCCUCUUGCUUUUGGGCCUGUUGAUUUUAACAUCACAUUGAUGGACCAGACCUUUGGAGGUCUUCAGUUCAAAGUUGACAUCUCAAGAGCAGCAAUGCAGCAGCACAAACAGAUGAAGAGGAUGGUACAGGGCUGGAGGUCUCUCCUGGAUGGAUGGAGGAAUCAAGGCCAAGUUUCUGAUCAUUUGCACUUGGAAUAAUUAGGAAUCGGACCAACCUGCUGCAUCAAUACAAAGCCUGGAGAUGCUUGGAAAUAAAAUAUGAACAACUGGAGGAUAAAUAAAGAUUGUUGAAAAAUAUUACAUAUCAAAGAACGGGAUAAGUAGCAAGUGUGAAAACAUCUGAGAUUUAAUUUGUAACUAUUACAUAUGUUCCUUAAAUAUUAGAAUCAUUGUUUGAAAUAUUAGUGAGGUCCUGUCAGCUAACAACUAAAUUUAAUGAUCUAAAUAUUUGGGUUAAGUUAAAUGGGUAAAAAAAUCAUUAUUCUGUUCUUUGACUUGCAUGCAACUAUUAGAUAAACAGAACUUGCACUGAAGUUUAGUUGUUGUCAAAAGGUACACGCUAAUACAUAACAGCAUUCAGACAUAUGCCUAGUUUAAUAAAACAUUUCACCGAUUCUUAAAAACUUAAUUGCUGAAUUUGUUAAGCUUUAUCUUUAUAAGUGUUAACAUGACAGUAAUGAGAAAAUGGCUUUAUUAUGACCUUUAGUACCACUUGCGUAAUUUACUGCAUUAUUUCCUUAAUUAAAACAUUAAUAGACCAGAUAGAACAAAUAAAUCUGUCUUGAUAACACAACUCAAUGCAAUCAACAGUUCACUGUUGCUAUGUGUUCUGGAGGGAAAGUCAGGGUUUCUACCAACUGGAAUGAUAAACUGAACUUUACUGGAUUGUUUAAUGACUAGGAUUGAAUUGGAUUGCUGGUAGUUGACUACAUGAUUGGUUAAUAUUCACUGCAUAUUUCUAGAUAAAAUGUUUUGUAAUUGUUAUGAAUCAGAGUUUAGAAAUAAACUGAAUUAAAUAA